AUAAAAUAAGGUCAUAUAGAUGGGCCUUAGUCCAAUAUGACUGGUGUUCUUAUAAGAAAAUAUUAGGACACAGAUACGCAUGUGCACAGAGAAAAGACCACAUGAAGACUGGGAGAAGACAGCUAUCUACAAGCCAGGGAGGAGGCCUCAGAAAAUAUCAACCCUGCUGACACAUUGGUCUCAAGAUUUCUAGCCUCCAGAAUGCUUCUCUGCACAGGAGGAUAGGAAUAUUAUAAAUUCCCUAACUGAAGAUCAUCCCAGUCUGAUUUAUUCAAGCUCAUAUUGAAAAAUAUCUGGUCUGAGAGAGACAGAAGUAUGGACAGGAAGAAGACAUACAGAAUCUUGAAGGCACUUUCUUCUUGAAACUAGCAGCCUGAAGAAACUAAAUUAUGAGACCAUCAUGGAGGCCAGUUCCAGAAGAAAACUUCAGAUUCUGUGUUUAUGUUGGCUUCCUUCUCCCCGUCUCCUUCAUGAUGAAAGAGAAACAACUGUCAGCAGGGUUCCAUUCUAUAUGGCUUAUACUUCAAAGAGAAAGAGAAACUUGUCUCUCCCCGAUUCAGAAUGAAGUCUCAGCAGAUGAUUUUUACUGAUUGCUCUAGCAUGGAUAACUUGACAUCACUUUAUUUAUCACUGUGGCCAGGAGAAGUAGGGACCAUAAUAGGUCAGGCCAAGGUCAAAUGGAAAUCUCUGUGUUAGGAGGGGUAGAAUACCACAACUGAAAAUCUCAUCAGAACCACACGGCAUGAGCAAGGCACCAAUCCACAAAGG
RNAcentral lists this long non-coding RNA (768 nucleotides) under Homo sapiens (human). RNAcentral describes it as "HSALNT0006613". The record is from RNAcentral. Lineage: Eukaryota; Metazoa; Chordata; Mammalia; Primates; Hominidae.